AGCGGCGGACGGGUGAGUAAUGCCUGGGAAUAUGCCCUGAUGUGGGGGAUAACUAUUGGAAACGAUAGCUAAUACCGCAUAAUCUCUUCGGAGCAAAGAGGGGGACCUUCGGGCCUCUCGCGUCAGGAUUAGCCCAGGUGGGAUUAGCUUGUUGGUGAGGUAAUGGCUCACCAAGGCAACGAUCCCUAGCUGGUCUGAGAGGAUGAUCAGCCACACUGGAACUGAGACACGGUCCAGACUCCUACGGGAGGCAGCAGUGGGGAAUAUUGCACAAUGGGGGAAACCCUGAUGCAGCCAUGCCGCGUGUGUGAAGAAGGCCUUCGGGUUGUAAAGCACUUUCAGUAGGGAGGAAGGUAGCGUAGUUAACACCUGCACUAUUUGACGUUACCUACAGAAGAAGCACCGGCUAACUCCGUGCCAGCAGCCGCGGUAAUACGGAGGGUGCGAGCGUUAAUCGGAAUUAUUGGGCGUAAAGCGCAUGCAGGCGGCCUGUUAAGUCAGAUGUGAAAGCCCGGGGCUUAACCUCGGAAUUGCAUUUGAAACUGGCAGG
Molecule: ribosomal RNA, 550 nt
Filed under: uncultured bacterium
Lineage: Bacteria
Description: bacterial SSU rRNA
Rfam family: Bacterial small subunit ribosomal RNA
Source: RNAcentral